Molecule: long non-coding RNA, 2677 nt
Organism: Equus caballus (horse)
Lineage: Eukaryota; Metazoa; Chordata; Mammalia; Perissodactyla; Equidae
Source: Ensembl
AAAGGAUCCCACUAUCCUAAAGAACAAUUGAUUCUGAAAUGAGUCUAGACUCUUCAGUUGACUAUUCAGAAGUCUCCACAAUGGGAUGCUAAGCCACUUUUUGGUCUUAUCUCCCUCAUUCCCCUAAACAAAUCCAGUGUGGGCCCAUCAUCAUUCCAUGAACAUGCUUUUCCUCUCUCCCUCCUCUGCACCUUGUGCACUCUGGUGAUAUUCUCCCUGGGAUGCCUAUGUGUGUGACCUCCCCCAGUAAAACUCACUCGCCAUCCUGAGCUCAAAUGAGGGCUCCAGGAAGCCUUCCUGAUUUCUUUAGCAGGAAGUUGUCCCCUCUUCUCUGGACUGUUCACGCGGCAUCUCUCACAUGCAGAUACUUGUCUCACCUCUUCCAGCAGACAGUACGGAAAUUUUGCUGUCUGUGUAGCGGUGUGCCUGCCUUUUAUAUAAAGCAGUAAGUACAGCCCUUGAGGAAAAGAGGAAUUUAAAUAACAAGGUUAGAACUAGACGGUUAAAAUCAACUACUGCCUUGGGUUUUCUGGUUGUCAUGGACACAGUAUUUUCUAUUGUUGGUAACUCUGGUCUCUAUGGUGAGCUCGCACUUAGAGCUAGAACCUUAGAAAGGCUACAGAUUGGAUGUGGCUCACUUCAUAUUUCAAUGAAGAGAGGAGAGCAGAUACAGGGAGGAGAGAGAGAUGGGGAAAAGACUAAAAAUAAACGUGUGGCUUUCCAAUGGCUUCCCUCCCCCCAAAAAUAUUACAUUUGAAGUUAGGUUAAAUCUUGUUUUAGAUCUAUCUAUUCCUGUUAAGACUGCAAUAUAAUUGCCUCUACCGUUUGAGUCCCUCCUUACUGCCCUACAAUUCAUGGUAGUUCUUAAAAUGACCAGUUGAAUAUGAAAAGUGAGGGGAAAUAAUCUCAGCCAUAAGGGGAUAGAAUUCCAUGCCAGAAAUUUCAAGGAGUGUGUGCUACGUGUGGUACGGAUAGGACAACACUGAUGAUGAGAUUGAGGGUAGGCUCUCUGAUCUCCCUCCUGGUAAGCGGAUGAGACCCAGAUGGAACUCUCUAGAUUAAGUGAUGAGUUAUGGAGGCAAGGGUAUUGGGGGAAAGUCAGAGGCUUUCAACACCUGGGCUGCCUUUUUCCAAGCAUUGGCUUUAGCCAACAUAAAGCAGUAGCCUCAGGAAAGAGGUAGGGUCCAGCCCUGGCUGGAACUUGGCGUGGUCCACUACCUGACGUUAGCCAAACUGCGAAGAUUGAAGACACAGUCUCCACACAAGACCACUCUCACUUCUGACACCAACUGUUGCUGGAUUGUAAAACUGGAAAUGCAAGUUUAUCUCAACUGGUCCUCUAGCCUAAAAACUGACAGAAAGACACUGAUAGCAAAGGGGCCCACAGUGAGAAAGAACGUUUUCCUUAUCCACAACCCAAACAACAGGAUCAGAAGGACUUUUCUUAGUUCAAAAAUUAGUAAAAAGAAACAAACUAAUAUGGCAUCUGAGAAAGUAUUUUAUAGCUAAGAGGUGAAAAGUUGAGGUGCAGAGGGGAGAAUUCUUCAGGAAAAUAUUUAAUUUAGAAAGGAGGACAAGUUCUAGAAAGCAUCUGCAAUAUAUUCUCAAUAUAAUUAAGGCAUGGACUUGAAGUAAGAGAUGAAUGUGGGUGACAAUACAGCAGAGAUGAUGAGGUAGGUGGAUGAUGAGCAGUCAUAAACGGGGAUUAAAAGAUAAGGAAAAGUUUAGUUGCAGAGUUUAAAUCUUCAAAAAUUCAUAAAGCACAAUCAAACCUGCAUAAAAUCAAAUCAGUGAUGUGGAGAGAAAAUUUGAGAAAGUUUCCCAGAAUGCAAAGGAAAAGGUAUAGGAUGAAAAGGAUGAGAGAAAAAAAUAGUAGACGUUGAGGAGAGAGGUAGGAGGCCCAACAUCAGAUAAUUGGUGACGGUGAGCGAGAUUGGAUGCAACGCUCAGAGAUGUCAGGGGAUGAAACAGAAGGAUACUCCUGAUCUGAGGAAGAAAACUAGCAUCAGGAAAAUAUAACGUUAAAAAAAUGUGUCCACCCUGCAAGAUGGCCCCCAAAGGAUCUCUGCCUGCUGGUGUUCACAUUGUAUACAGGUAGGUCUGUGUGACCAGUGGAAUAUGGCAGAAGUGGUAGUCAGUCACUUCUGAGAUAAAGCUCAUAAAGACACUGUGGCUCUGUCUUGGCUGUUCUUCUUCUCUCUCUCGGAUCACUCUCUGGAGGAAUCGAGCUUUCAUGUCAUGAGCAGCCUUAUGGAGAGGCCCAUGAGGGGAGGAGCCGAGGUCCUUCUACCAACAGCCAUGUGAGGACCCUCCUGCCCCAGCAAACCUUCAGAUGAGGAAACUGAGGCGCUGAAGAGGGAAGUAAUUUGUCAGAGGUGACAAUACUCAUCGAGCUCCUCUCUUAGAGUCCUUCCUAGCUGCCAUGUGAACAAGCUGGAAUUGGCCUACAGGAGCAGAGAUGAGUCUGCCCAGUUGUCCCACCUGAAGCCCCAGCCAUGUGAAAGAGCCCAGUCAAGACCAGGAAGUCUCACGUGCAGCUGACUACAGAUGCAGGAGAGAUCGCAUCCACUCCCAGAACCAUCCAGCUAAGCCCAGCCUAAACUGUUGAUCCACAGAACCGUGAGCCAAAUAAAUAGUUAUUGUUUAAAUCCACAAGGUUUGGAGUGGUUUAUUACAC